Zingiber officinale is the source of this 1091-nucleotide long non-coding RNA. RefSeq lists it as uncharacterized. The transcript has 6 exons. Lineage: Eukaryota; Viridiplantae; Streptophyta; Magnoliopsida; Zingiberales; Zingiberaceae. The record is from RefSeq and is a predicted model, not a curated record.
UCAUCAUUAAAUUCCACUAAUCACUAGCAGACCAGAAGAUCCUGCUCCCAUCAUAGUCCACCAAAAUCACUAGUGGACCAAUUUACGGACCGGAGGAUCUCUGCCUGUCUCGGCCCUAAUCCUUCGCUUCCUCCGGUGUAGCUCACUCGUCGCCUCCAUUUCGGCGACCGCCCCUUUUCCCUCCGUCGCCCCCUCUUCACCGAGCUGAGCGGGCGUCGUGCAUUCGUUGCGUACAGAAGCGACGAACUUUAGGGAUGGCGGGCAGCUCAAGCAACAACUCCAGCAAGCCUCUGCCAACUUAAGUCCCGUUAGCUUCUCUUGAUCAUGGCAGCAAGCUCCUACUUGAAUUGCAGGGGACUGGAGAAGGUCUGGCCGAAUGCCCAGUUGGAAGGAACUAUGUUAGGGAACACCAAUGUCUGUCCAUCGCUGGUGGUGACCUUGAAGGAGAGAGACUGACGGGUGAGGUAGCUGUUAGAUUGCCAAUUCACUCCCCAAUUCCUCGACAUUGAGAGCCAGUCAGUUUGGGACCCUUUCACUGAUAUGGCCUGUAUUGAUCCAGCGGCGCCAACAUUGGUCACUAGAACAAGCUGAAAAUAGUCGUGCCCAUUGAUGGUGAACCUUACUCCGCCAUGCUUCUUGCAUGGUACCCUAUAAAGAUUCAUCAGGAAGAUGAACUUCUUUAGUGAGAGGCAUCACAUGGUCACAUGCUGAUAACAGGUUUCAGCACAUGGAUCAUGAAACCAGUGGCACUAAAAAUAAAAGAGGAUACAAAUAUUUUUUUGUUUGGCUUGGAUUGGUUUCAUUCAAAGUAUGAAGCAUAUACUUCCCAGCCAAAUAAAAAACCUUCACAGGCUACAAGUGAUCGGUCUACCAUUGGGGAAAGGGAAAUAUGCUCCUGUGCUCUCACCUAGAUCUGAAGAAAAGGGUAAAGAAUGACUAAACUAAAAGGAGCAGCAGGAGAGGCAAAGGAUGUGUGUAGCAGUGACAUUGUGGAAGACAUCUGUUUUGUGUUUCAAGACUUAUACAUGUUCUAAGUUUUGCAUGUUAACUUGUUUUUCUACUUGAUGCUUUUAAUGGUUGCUAUUUGACUA